UACGUAGGGGGCAAGCGUUGUCCGGAAUCAUUGGGCGUAAAGCGCGUGUAGGCGGUUACGUAAGUCUGCUGUGAAAGUCGGAGGCUCAACCUUCGAAAGCCGGUGGAUACUGCGUGACUAGAGUACGGAAGAGGAGAGUGGAAUUCCUGGUGUAGCGGUGAAAUGCGCAGAUAUCAGGAGGAACACCGGUGGCGAAGGCGGGUCUCUGGGCCGAUACUGACGCUGAGGAGCGAAAGCGUGGGGAGCGAACAGG
This 253-nucleotide ribosomal RNA is filed under the name uncultured bacterium. Its description in RNAcentral is "partial 16S ribosomal RNA". It matches the Rfam family "Bacterial small subunit ribosomal RNA", at positions 524 to 776 of the family's 1533-position model. The record is from RNAcentral.